Molecule: small nucleolar RNA, 98 nt
Rfam family: Plant small nucleolar RNA R71
About the family: R71 is a member of the C/D box family of snoRNAs containing the C (UGAUGA) and D (CUGA) box motifs. Multiple nearly identical copies of this snoRNA have been identified in Arabidopsis, and it is thought to function as a 2'-O-ribose methylation guide for 18S ribosomal RNA.
Source: Rfam
AUACCAUGAUGAGGACAUCUCCUAAGUAACUCUUUAAAUGCACCAUACAAACUCUCAUCUUCAAGUUGAUAGAAAGAUGUGAUCUUGUUUCUCAAUUU